AACGAACGCUGGCGGCAUGCCUAACACAUGCAAGUCGAACGAGACCUUCGGGUUUAGUGGCGCACGGGUGCGUAACGCGUGGGAACCUGCCCUUAGGUUCGGAAUAACUCCCCGAAAGGGGUGCUAAUACCGGAUAAUGUCUUCGGACCAAAGAUUUAUCGCCUUUGGAUGGGCCCGCGUUGGAUUAGCUAGUUGGUAGGGUAAAGGCCUACCAAGGCGACGAUCCAUAGCUGGUCUGAGAGGAUGAUCAGCCACACUGGGACUGAGACACGGCCCAGACUCCUACGGGAGGCAGCAGUGGGGAAUAUUGGACAGUGGGCGAAAGCCUGAUCCAGCAAUGCCGCGUGAGUGAUGAAGGCCUUAGGGUUGUAAAGCUCUUUUACCCGGGAUGAUAAUGACAGUACCGGGAGAAUAAGCUCCGGCUAACUCCGUG
This 433-nucleotide ribosomal RNA is filed under the name uncultured bacterium. RNAcentral's name for it is "partial 16S ribosomal RNA". It matches the Rfam family "Bacterial small subunit ribosomal RNA", at positions 29 to 507 of the family's 1533-position model. The record is from RNAcentral.